This 3201-nucleotide long non-coding RNA is filed under the name Equus asinus (donkey). RNAcentral's name for it is "lncRNA (ENSEASG00005035519.1)". The record is from RNAcentral. Lineage: Eukaryota; Metazoa; Chordata; Mammalia; Perissodactyla; Equidae.
GUGAACCCAGAAAGUUGAAGAGGAGAAAAAAGGUGAGGGUGGAGAAACCUCGUGAGAAGAGAGGGAAAACUAGAGAGACAGAGACAGAGACGUGGAGAGAGAGAGAAAGGCAGAUGUAGCCACUAAGGAAAACGCGCGGAGGAAAACGCUGUCACCUGCUGACGCCGGACCACACCACCGCAGGUCGUGGCUGGCCGGCUGUGCUCACGGUGCGGUGUGUAGGCGCCGUGGCCGCUUCGGUUGGAACCCGAUUGAUAAUCGAGAGGACUCUGCGUCCGGGAGAGAAGUCUGCAACUCCUGGUGAUUGUACUCUCUGGGCUGGGAGCUCUCCCUUCGGCGAGGCGGCGCUUGGAGCACCGCACGAGGAGGGUUCUGCGGUCAGAGGCGCCGAGACUCCGCCCGGGCCCCUGGUGCCCGGAGCGCGCAGCGCCCCCAGGGUGGAGGCCAAGAGGGCGCGGCGCUGAGGCUCCCGACAGCGCCAGGAGGACAGGCGGGGAAACCUCCAGGUGAGCGCCUCUGUCCAAGAGGACCUUCUCCUGCACCGAAAUGGGGCGCUUAUAUCGAUUUUCUUCGGACCAGCCCUCGUCGCGUCAUAGGUGAGGGGAUUCCCCUACGCCGUCCCUGCGGGGGCCACCAGGAGGCGCCCUGGCCCUUCCACUCAAAGGGCUUACAAAGGACAAGGUCUCCCGCGGUGUUCAAGGUCCCUAGAUUUUGAGGGUCAGAUUUAGCCUCGUGGAACCCGAGGUUGCCUGUUUGGGGUCACCCCGGCCACCGAGUCGCCUUGGAUCAGCCCGUCCUACCCAGGCUGGAGGACGGGCUGUGGACGCUCAGCCACUCAGCGGGGGCCACCUCACUCCGCCUCCCCAGCGGGACCCCAAAGGGUCCGGACCAGAGAGACGCGCAUCCCUUCCGCCCUCAGCCUGUGGAAGCCGGUUCCUAUGUUGGCCUGGACGGGGCGGGGCGACCCCAGGAAGUCCGAGUCCUGUUCUGAGGGUCAUCGGAGCUCCCGGGACAGUGCGAAGAGGACAACGGCAAAGGAAAGGAAAAGGACACUUUUUUUUUUCCUGACAGGAUUUUGCCCCAGGGCAGGAAACUCUAGUACUGCGGGCGGAGGAGGUGGAUUUGGGGGAGGCCUAAAAGCCCCUCCCUGCCGCCGCUCCAGAAGGACUUGAUCUCACCCCCACGGAGCGGCCUGGAGAGCCCGGCAGAGCGCGGGCAGGCGGGGCGACCCCUCCGUCGAGGACGGGCCGCCCUCGGGCCGCGAGGCCGUCGGAGCCCGUCCUCGGGGCGGGGCUCAGGAGGCCGGGCCGCCUCCGGGAGAACGCGCGGCCCCGCCGGGGCUCCGUGGGCGCUGGGUGUGCUCUGGCUGCGGCCUCCAGCCCCCGCCCCGGCUCCGGACGCUCGCUCCAGGCCCGGCCAUCCCUUACCCCACAGCCCAAAGGGAGGUUCUCCUCUGGAACGCAAAGUGGCGCCUCACAGACGGAGUUGACGGGACGUGGUGUCCCGCUCCGCGUCCCCUCCCGUCCCGCUGUCGGAGAGAAAAGUUCCGACCUGGGAAGGAAGCUCCACGGGCCCGCGCUGCCCCGGGUCUCCGCGUGACUCUUGCUCCCUCCACCCUUUGCAUCUCGCAGCCGCGUCCCCUGCCCUCUGCCACCUUCUCCUCAGGAGUCCGGGACACAGGGAGGUGACAGAGCCUGGGGCGCCCCCGAUGGCCUCGUGCAGCUCUGCGGGUCGCUGGCCAUCCGAGGCCUGGGCCCGGCGCCAGAGGGGUAGUGCCAGUCCCUCAUCAGGGUCACCCUCGGGCCUCGGGAGUAGAGGCAGUGGCUGUGUCCAUUCAAUCCUGCACCUCGAGGGGCCUUCGCAGGGCAAGUCUUGUCAUCGGACCUCCUGUCUCUCUGCAGAAAGAGCAAUCCUAGCCAGAGAAUCCAGCGUCUGUGGAGAGCAGGAGUUCCUGAUUCACCUGGGCCCAGGCUUUGGAAAUGCUUGCAGAUCUUUGUGUCAAGGCUAGACUAUUUGAAUGUAACUUUUUUGGUUAUAUUUGAGUUGCAAACCACAUUUGUUUUUACAUAAUUAUAAAACUAAAUUAAAUUUAAAAAAUUUUGCCUCUAGACAUUGAAAACACAAUGUAAUGAAUGAACCUGUUGUAUCCCUGUUGUGGAACAACCAUAUGGAUUAGAACUAUUCCUAGAGACUUUAAGACACAAUAAUUUAUUCAUAUACCAAGGCAGCGACAAAUUAAAAAACCAUUUUCCUCAAUUGGGUUGUUAGUGGUAUUGUUGUUAUUGUCUUUAUUCUUUUGUUUAUAUAAUGUGCGACAGAGUAAAUGAGACAUUUUGGGAUAUUCUAAUUCUAUUACUCCCCCGUCCUCAAAAACAACAGUGCUUGGUAUUAGAGAAAGGAGAUUCAGAUGAAAGAUACACAUUCAAUAAAAACCCUGUAGAUCUGAAUUUGCAUUGGCAGUGUUUAUGUAUAUAUGUAAUUACAUGAAUGCAUAUGAAUAUGCAUAUGCAUUUUCUAGUUCUGUCCACAGGAAAGGCCUAGCAAUAAGCCAGUUGCAAUGAGGACCUCUAGUAUACACAUUUUGAUCUGGGAAUACUGUUUCUCACAAAAAGAAAUCAGAGAUUCUUAGAGAAAUGGCUGAGUCCAGGUCAGGGGCAGUAAAUAUUCAAGAUGAGACAGAAACACCUUGUCUUACUGAUACCAGAAAAGGUCUCAAAUAGUAAUCUUAAAAGGAGUAAGGAACAACUUGAAGUCACCAUCUUCACUGCUGAAAGAGAGGAUAAAUUGAAGCAUCAGUAAUGACCAUAUUGCAAUGGACUGAACUACUUCCAUGUGUUUGGAUCAUUGAGUUCAUAUUAAUAUAGGAAAAAAAGAAAAAGAACUAAUUGAUGACCGCAGAGGAUGCUAGGGGACGAGCUCAUGUAGCUGCAGUUUUCUUUAGAAACUGUACCACUAAGUAAUUAAAUAAUAUUUAGGGGAAGUGUCUCUAUAGGUGUUCCAGGUAAUAAUAUGUGAUGAUGGAUCACCAUUUUAUUCCAUAUAAUCAAUCAAUGGAUCUGGGCCUUGAGCAUAAAGGACUGCUCACAUCAUUAGAAGAUACACACAGGACAAUGUGCCUCUUGAUGGAAAAGCACACACCAUUUUUGAGGAAGUCUUGCCAACAAAUCAAACAUGAGUCAAGUCAGUCUCUACAUCUGCCAG